This 24-nucleotide non-coding RNA is filed under the name Cricetulus griseus (Chinese hamster). Lineage: Eukaryota; Metazoa; Chordata; Mammalia; Rodentia; Cricetidae. The record is from RNAcentral.
GCUUCCAGUGUAGUGUUUUCCAGG